CGACCAAAGCGGAUAAUUGCUUAUAUCCCCCGAUAUAAGAGGAAAGUCCGAGCUUCACAGGGCAGGACGCAGGCUAACGGCCUGUGGGGGCGACCCCAAGGACAGUGCAACAGAAAUAAACCGCCCCCGCUUCGCUUCGGCGACGCGCCGGGCAAGGGUGGAAAGGUAGGGUAAGAGCCUACCCGGCCUUUGGCGACAAGGGUUGUGUCUGUAAACCCCGUCCGAAGCAAGGCAAAUUAAACCGGCCCCCUGGGGGCGGGGGCGGCCCGUCCCUUGGGAAACUUCGGUUUAGGUACGCCGCGCGAGCGCGCUGGCAACAUCGCGCCAAGAUAGAUAAUUAUCAAAAACAGAACUCGGCUUACGGCUUUGGUCGAUUA
RNAcentral lists this RNase P RNA (377 nucleotides) under Clostridiales bacterium. Its description in RNAcentral is "RNase P RNA component class A". It matches the Rfam family "Bacterial RNase P class A". From Rfam's summary of the family: Ribonuclease P (RNase P) is a ubiquitous endoribonuclease, found in archaea, bacteria and eukarya as well as chloroplasts and mitochondria. Its best characterised activity is the generation of mature 5'-ends of tRNAs by cleaving the 5'-leader elements of precursor-tRNAs. The record is from RNAcentral. Lineage: Bacteria; Bacillati; Bacillota; Clostridia; Eubacteriales.